This 254-nucleotide ribosomal RNA is filed under the name uncultured bacterium. RNAcentral's name for it is "partial 16S ribosomal RNA". It matches the Rfam family "Bacterial small subunit ribosomal RNA", at positions 524 to 776 of the family's 1533-position model. The record is from RNAcentral.
GACGGAGGGCGCAAGCGUUGUUCGGAAUUACUGGGCGUAAAGCGCGGGCAGGCGGUCUGUUCAGUCGUUUGUGAAAAUCCGGGGCUCAACCCCGUGAAAUGCGUACGAUACUGGCAGGCUGGAGACUGGUAGAGGCUAGCGGAAUUCCUGGUGUAGCGGUGGAAUGCGUAGAUAUCAGGAAGAACACCUGUGGCGAAGGCGGCUAGCUGGGCCAGUUCUGACGCUCAUCCGCGAAAGCGUGGGGAGCAAACAGG